Molecule: long non-coding RNA, 411 nt
Organism: Anneissia japonica
Lineage: Eukaryota; Metazoa; Echinodermata; Crinoidea; Comatulida; Comatulidae
Exons: 3
Source: RefSeq, a predicted model, not a curated record
AAAUAAUAUGCAUUUCCUAUAAAAGCUCACACUUCUAAGGAGUUUGAAGCACUGUGCAAGGGCUACACAGCAACGGAGGAUAACACGCUAAACGCUGUAAACGUCGGAAACUUUACCCAAAGAAAAGAUGGCAAGAAAGAGAACUACGAAUGGAAGCCUUGCUUGUGUCGUGAUUUUGUUAAUUCUUAUCGAACACACCUUAUGCUCCGACGUGCGCAAUAGUUUUACAGAAGCCGCAAAGAGAAACGAAACCCCGUCACUGAUUAGGCUUUUACAAGACGUUUUACUAGAACACACUGAAGCCCAAAUGCAGUACCUUCAGAGACGUCUGCAAGAAGAUCUGGAGACUAUAGAAAGUGUAGUCAACCAACCAAAUCGCAGCAAAAAGUAAGUAGUGGAGAAUAACUGCUC